Corythoichthys intestinalis (scribbled pipefish) is the source of this 5288-nucleotide long non-coding RNA. RefSeq lists it as uncharacterized. The record is from RefSeq and is a predicted model, not a curated record. The transcript is spliced from 3 exons. Lineage: Eukaryota; Metazoa; Chordata; Actinopteri; Syngnathiformes; Syngnathidae.
UUACAUUAAGAAUACUAGAUAUAAGUACGGUCUUUUCAACUCAGAAUAAACACUUCAUAUUUUCACCGCAAGUCUUGUUUAACUAUUUAACAUUUUUAAACAUGCAUACGCUUUUAAAAACUUUUUUUCAGUGCGGCCACUUACCGUGUUUUUUUCGCGAGAGGUGAAAUAACGUAACUUGUUUUCGUCGCAAGGGUUGACGACAUUUCCGGUCUGAGGGGACUGAGAGCUGCGGUGUUGCGUCAUUUCCUGUCUGCGGGAUGGGUACUGAGAAGAGCGGCGCAGGGUACUGAGAGAGGCGGGCUGCAGCCAGACUCCUCUCGAUGUUUCUGACAUGGCUAAGGGACAGCUACUUACUCUGGUUCGGCCCACUUGAAGCUUACUGUUUUCCUGCUGUGUGGGCUUUAUCAUCACCAAGUCGGAGUGGGAGCACUUCGGCAACUGAAGACAAACAGACAGCCACGACUUAUAAGGGGAAGGUCAGCAGGACCUCCAACAUGAUUUCACAUUUACAUGACCACCAUCCGUUACAGAAAAAUCCAAGAUCCUGAUUUAGGAACCCACUCAAGCCUCACCAAGACACGUGAUGUCAAUCAAAGCGCCACAUCAGAUGACUGCACCAUCUGAUUGGAUUCAGUCCAUGUGGGCUUACAGGGAGGGGAGCGGUGACACAUUUGGCUGCAGAUCAGAAGCCCACCUUGCUGCUUUCCCGGCCUAGGAUGGCGUAGCUCAUGAACUGCUCGGCGUCCACCUCCAGCUCAUUGGCAUCCUGCAGAGAACCGUCCACGCUCACGUCCUGAACGCCGUCUUCUCCCUUUCCUCGGCGCACGACCUUUCGCACAAUCUAAACGCACGGUAGCACCGUUAUGAAGGAGGUUUUUCAAAACACAGUGAAUUUGAUAACUGCAUUCUCCGCACUAUAAAAGCCUUAAAUUUUCUCCAAAGCCGACAAUGCGCCUUAUACAGGUAGUCCCCGGGUUACAAACAAGUUCCGUUUGUACGCUGGCGACAUAACCCAAAUUUCAGUAAAUCGAGAUGAACCGUUUAAGUACCAAUUAGAUCUCAAAAUAACUAUGAAAACGUCCAAAAGUAUUGUAUUUUGUUUAAUGGUGCAGGACACACUGCCCUCUAGUGGCAGCGUUGGGUCUGGCUGGACUGUCACCUUGUAUGACUGAGUAGCAGACUCAGAUGUUUGACAUGGAUAAAGGACAGCUGCCUGGCCCACAUAAGGCUGUAAGUUGUUUCAGCUAAUAUAUGUUUGUGUAUGCAUCUGUAACUAAGUUUAGAGCUACGGUUGGUGGAGUUAUGAGUUAGCGAUUUGAAAUGAGAAUUGUAAAUAUGUUAGCAUUCAUAGAAUAUAAGCUAACAGACUUUUGUUAGACAUAUUAGAGGUUAGGGUAACUCCUGUAGCCCGCAAGCUAAUGAUAUGCUAGUGAUUAAAUUUUGUCAUUCGUCUGUGCGAUAGAAAUUCUCACAUAGCCCACACAUAGCCCAUCACAUAGAACUCAAUUUAUUUCAAAAUGGACCCAAAAUGGUGCCAUUCGUUAAUGCUACGUUUGUGCGGUGAAAAUUUUCGUUUGUGCUGCUAUCAUUUUAAAGAUAUUGAGAUAUUAAUUUCAAGUGAUGACGUCAAUCGCAUUGACCCUAUCGCCCCUGACAAAGCGUACCAACGCUCUCAAUAAUAGAGGGGUGUCCCAACAACUAGCUUAAACCUAGCACAAACUAAUGGCACCCCAUCAGGUCCAUUUUCCAGCAAAUGGGGGGCUACGAGUCACGUCAUCACUCGGAAUGAAUAUCUCAAGCCCCAUUUUCUGCAAAAUGGACUCGAAGGGUGCUAUUCGUUUAUAGGUAUAAGCUGCAUAAAAUCACCAUCAAAUUUGAUCUAAUCUUUGUCAAAAUCACACAGAUUAAAAAACAGUGCUUUAAUUAAAGCCACCCAAAUAUUUAUAGGUUUUUUCAUAUUUUAAUGAGGAUAUCAUGCAAACAAUGACAGAAGAGGGAAAAUAAGUAUCUGAACCCUCUUCCUAAGGAGAUUUAAAGAGUAAUUGAAACCAAUUUUUACCAAACAGUUUAGGUCAGGUGUGUGCCCAAUUACUGAUGAGUGGUUUAAAGCUGCCCUGUCCACUAUUAAACACACACCUGGUAAGAAUUGUCUUGAUGAGAAGCAUUGUCUGAUGUGCAUCAUGGCUCAGUCAAAAGAGCUGUCUGCCACCAAGGAUUGUUGAUUUGUAUAAAGCUGGGAUAGGAUACAAAACCAUCUCUAAAAGUCUGGAUGUUUGUCAAUCGACAGUCAGAGAAGUUGUUUACAAAUGGAGAUCUGUAGCUACAGGAAGCGUCUGAUUGAAGUUAUUGCUGCCAAAAGGAGGGGCCAGAAAAUAUUAAAUGUGAUGGUACACUUACUUAUCCCCCCCCCCCUUCUGUCAUUGUUUGCAUGAAAACCUAUAAAUGUUAGGGUGGUUUUAGUUAAAGCAGUUUUUUCAUCUGUGUGAUUUUGCAAAAGAUCAGAUCACAUUUGAUAGUGAUUUCAUGGAGAAAUGUGAGAAACCAUACCACUUGAAUUUGCAAAAUUGCUGAACUACAGCAAUUUUGUAGAGAAGAAUGGGCCAAGAUUAGUCCUGAUCAAUGUGGCGGACUGAGCUGCAGUUACAGGAAGCGUCUGGUUGAAGUUAUUGCUGGCAAACGGGGGACACAAAAUAUGAAAUGUGAUGGUUCACUUACUUUUUACUCACUUACUUACUCAUUUUUUUGCCGUCAUGUGAGAAAAUCCCAAAAGGUUCAGAUACUUUUUCAUACCAUUGUACAAAUGCCUAAAUACGAACAUGAUUGCGUAAAUAUGAGUAUGAAUGUGUAAAUACGUGUACAGAGUUUUGCUACAAUAAUGCUUCCAUAGGAGACUACCUGUGUAUCACUCAAUAUUCAGCUUUAACAGGUCUCACAGCAACUAAUGGAUGCAUUACGUAACCCCAGCCUCUACUGUAGUGUCUAUUCUAUGUACCUUUUAAUGCCUUAUAAUGUGUUGCGUUUUUAUAUUUCAUACAGAAUUAAAAACAAAACUGACCUUUUUAGUGAUGAUGUUUCCAUGCUCAUCUGUAAACUGCUCCUCGCUGACCUGUUCCCCGGGAAGAUCUUCAGCCUCAUCCCCCUGUGGGGAGAUAAUUAACUCUUUCACUGCCACUUGUGAUAUUAGACAUUAAAUUAUGUGGCUCUUUUAGUCCCUCUGCUGUGAAUUGGAAUGAGUUUAUCAUGAGUUGUCACAGCUUCAUCCAACAUUUUUUGAAAUACCUCAAAAUCAAGGGCGUAGGUUUGGUCUCAACUUUGGUAGGGACGAUAUAACAGCAUAACCUGCACUUUUUGCUCAGAACGGGACAUUAAAAUGACCAAACAGAUUACUGAACAGGGCUCAGGGCUACAUUUCUCACCAAUAUGAACCUAAUUAAUUGAUACGCUAAAUGAUUAAUGCAAAAUAAAUCUGCAUUGAUUUAUACUAACUUUCAUGUGUAUUGGUUCAGGUGAUACGUAAUCUGACAUAGCCAAGGACCGAUCUACAUCUGAGGCAUACGAGACUACCCUGAACCAAAGUACUGUCAUAAAAAUUCUGACGUGUGAUUUCUUUCACAGAUUUUUUUUUUUCCUAUGUCAGUGUCCCCCUGAAGUGGACCCAAUCUCGGAUAGCUCCCCAUUUUUUUUUUUUUUAAAUAAAAGGACUUGCACUCUGAAGCCACUGUGUUGCAUUAUUGUAAUGCACAUAAUGCAUACAAAGAUCCAAAUGAGGGACAGCUAGCUUGACUUUGUUUUUCUUUGUGGAGGAUGGCCUGACUGCAGUAGUUUUGCAGGUUAGCAUGUCCACACAGUUUAAAGUUAUGCUAACUCUGAUGCUAGUCGGACUUUCUUCAACAAAAUUAGUGGUGUUUCCCCCACUUCCGCAACAUUGACGUAUUUUUACAUUAGGCCACUGCUGCUGGCCGAAAAAAAAAAACACUUCUAAAAUCCCUCCUUCUCGAGGGGGCGGAAGAGGCGGGUUGAGUCAAGUCUAGGAGUUCAUAGUAACGCGUUCUUUUUCUUCAGUUACAUUUACUUGAGUAACUUUUUCUAGUAGUUUUACCACACAAUACUUUUUACUUUUACUUAAGUAGGUUUGUGAAUAAACACUUCUCUUACUCCACUACUUUGGCCUACACUAGAGUUGUUACAUUUUUUUGUCUUCAUUCUACAUAUUGACUUUAUUUUUGCCAGAGAUGCCAACAGUGGCCUUCUCACUUUCACCAAUGAGAUGUCGAAACAACCACAUGACUCCGUUAUACCAAUCAGAGUGAAAAAUGUUUUUUUUUUCUCCACUAGAGGGCACCCGCGCUCUUCGUGUCAUAUUAUUGUUCUGGUCUGAAUUGGAGGAUUUUUUUUGUCAUUCUUUUGGCCUAAUAUGGUCAUGUAAUAGGUUAUAAUUAGGGUUGUUACGAUCAUGUUUUUUUGCUCCCGACCCGAUCCCGAUCGUUUUAGUUUGAGCAUCUGCCGAUCCCGAUAUCUCCCGAUCCGAUUGCUUUUUUUUCUCCCGGUUCAAUUCCAAUCAUUCCCGAUAAUUUUUCCCGAUCAUAUACAUUUUGGCAAUGCAUUAAGAAAAAAAUGAAUACAACUCGGACAAAUAUAUACAUUCAACAUACAGUACAUUCAAUAUACAGUACUGUAUUUGUUUAUUAUGACAAUAAAUCCUCAAAAUGGCAUUUACAUUAUUAUUAACAUUCUUUCUGUGGGAGGGAUCCACUGAUAGAAAGACUUGUGACUUUGUAUAUUGUGACUAAAUAAUGCCAUCUAGUGUAUUUGUUGAGCUUUCAGUAAAUGAUACUGUAAGCAUGCCCAAAUGCAUGAUGGGAAGUGGAACCAUGACUGUGCGUAGUGCUACCAAUGGAUAUAGCUUCUCUGCGUUGGGAAAUAACAUAAGGUGUUAAGAAAAAGAUCAGUUGCUACCUUGCUUCCCCACAUUGCUUCCCAUGAUAAUUCUAAUCAUAUAUAGAGGGAUUGUAAGGCUCUAGCCAAUUAAAAAAAGGCUCCAAAGGCUGCCAAAAUUUACUGUACUCAUUUAACGCUGCCUUUUAUCUCUCUAUAUAGGUAAAACGGCGCCAUUACAGAUUGAGCGCGCCACUGCGCGAAUGGGUCGUGCAGCACAUGCAUUAAUUGCGUUAAAUUUAUUAACGUGAUAUAUUUUUUAAAAAUUAAUUACCGUCGUUAUCGGGAUAAAUUUGAUAACCCUACCUUAAGCCUAAACUAAAGACUCUGGAUGAGUGUAACAUAUUAUG